This 467-nucleotide ribosomal RNA is filed under the name uncultured archaeon. RNAcentral's name for it is "bacterial SSU rRNA". It matches the Rfam family "Archaeal small subunit ribosomal RNA", at positions 1 to 473 of the family's 1478-position model. The record is from RNAcentral.
UUCUGGUUGAUCCUGCCGGAGGUCACUGCUAUUGGGAUUCGACUAAGCCAUGCGAGUCGAGAGGGUUCGGCCCUCGGCUGACUGCUCAGUAACACAUGGAUAAUCUGCCCUAAGGUGGAGGAUAACCUCGGGAAACUGAGAAUAAUACUCCAUAAGUCUAAGAUACUGGAAUGUUCUUAGGCUGAAAACUCCGGUGCCUUAGGAUGAGUCUGCGGACUAUCAGGUUGUAGUCAGGGUAAAGACCUGACUAGCCUACAACGGAUACGGGUUGUGAGAGCAAUAACCCGGAGACGAUAUCUGAGACACGAUAUCGGGCCCUACGGGGCGCAGCAGGCGCGAAACCUUCACAAUGUGCGAAAGCACGAUGAGGGAAUCCCAAGUGCUUGCUCGUAAGAGUAAGCUGUUUUUAUGUCUAAAACGCAUAGAGAGUAAGGGCUGGGUAAGACGGGUGCCAGCCGCCGCGGUAA